Molecule: ribosomal RNA, 468 nt
Filed under: uncultured bacterium
Lineage: Bacteria
Description: partial 16S ribosomal RNA
Rfam family: Bacterial small subunit ribosomal RNA
Source: RNAcentral
GACGAACGCUGGCGGCGUGCUUAACACAUGCAAGUCGAACGGAAAGGCCCUGCUUUUGUGGGGUGCUCGAGUGGCGAACGGGUGAGUAACACGUGAGUAACCUGCCCUUGACUGUGGGGUAACUUCAGGAAACUGAGGCUAAUACCGGAUAGGAGCUCCUGCUGCAUGGUGGGGGUUGGAAAGUUUCGGCGGUUGGGGAUGGACUCGCGGCUUAUCAGCUUGUUGGUGGGGUAGUGGCUUACCAAGGCUUUGACGGGUAGCCGGCCUGAGAGGGUGACCGGCCACAUUGGGCCUGCGAUAGGGCCCAGACUCCUACGGGAGGCAGCAGUGGGGAAUAUUGCACAAUGGGCGGACGCCUGAUGCAGCAACGCCGCGUGCGGGAUGCCGGCCUUCGGGUUGUAAACCGCUUUCGCCUGUGACGAAGCGUGAGUGACGGUAAUGGGUAAAGAAGCACCGGCUAACUACGUG